This 621-nucleotide ribosomal RNA is filed under the name Morchella sextelata. Its description in RNAcentral is "partial large subunit ribosomal RNA". It matches the Rfam family "Eukaryotic large subunit ribosomal RNA", at positions 37 to 668 of the family's 3401-position model. The record is from RNAcentral. Lineage: Eukaryota; Fungi; Ascomycota; Pezizomycetes; Pezizales; Morchellaceae.
UGCAUAUCAAAAAGCGGAGGAAAAGAAACCAACAGGGAUUGCCUCAGUAACGGCGAGUGAAGCGGCAAAAGCUCAAAUUUUAAAGCUGGCAUCUUCGGUGUCCGCGUUGUAAUUUUGUGAGGCAUCUCCGGGUAGGGCGCCGGCCUAAGUUCCUUGGAACAGGACGUCACAGAGGGUGAGAAUCCCGUGCUUGGCUGGCUGUCCCCGUCCAUGUGAGGUGUCUUCGACGAGUCGAGUUGUUUGGGAAUGCAGCUCAAAAUGGGUGGUAAAUUUCAUCUAAAGCUAAAUAUUGGUGGGAGACCGAUAGCGCACAAGUAGAGUGAUCGAAAGAUGAAAAGCACUUUGAAAAUAGAGUUAAAAAGUACGUGAAAUUGUUGAAAGGGAAGCGCUUGAGACCAGACUUCGGUAGGGGGUGAUCAGCCGUGCUUCGGUGCGGUGCACUUGUUCCUCUCUGGGCCAGCAUCGGUUGAGGCGGCGGGAUAAAGGUCCCGGGAAUGUGGCUCCUUCACGGGAGUGUUAUAGCCCGGGUGAAUGCCGCCAGCUUCGACCGAGGACCGCGCCCGCAAGGGUUAGGAUGCUUGGCAUAAUGGUCUUCAGCGACCCGUCUUGAAACACGGACCA